AGGCAACAAUGAUGAUAGGUUGUCGGUCUGUAUGUAAUGUGUUGUAUUACUACAUGGAGACACCAGUCCCUCUAAGCUGACGUUGCCA
Crocodylus porosus (Australian saltwater crocodile) is the source of this 88-nucleotide small nucleolar RNA. Ensembl annotates it as small nucleolar RNA, C/D box 127. Its record names the gene SNORD127. NCBI's taxonomy places the organism in Eukaryota, Metazoa, Chordata, Crocodylia, Crocodylidae. The record is from Ensembl.